AUUAUCAACUUUCGAUGGUAGGAUAGAGGCCUACCAUGGUGGUAACGGUAACGGGGUGUUAGGGCACGACACCGGAGAGGGAGCUGAGAAACGGCUACCACAUCCAAGGAUGGCAGCAGGCGCGCAAAUUACCCAAUCCCGACACGGGGAGGUAGUGACAAUAAAUAACAAUACGGGGUUCUUUCGGAUUUCGUAAUUGGAAUGAGUACAAUUUAAAUCUCUUAACGAGGAACAAUUGGAGGGCAAGUCUGGUGCCAGCAGCCGCGGUAAUUCCAGCUCCAAUAGCGUAUAUUAAAGUUGCUGCAGUUAAAAAGCUCGUAGUUGAAUUUCGGGAUCAAUAUGUUGGUCGUGCCUCGGUACGUACUAGCUUAUUGGUUUCUCCCUUCUGACGAACCAUGAUGUCAUUUAUUUGGUGUUAUGAGGAAUCAGGACUGUUACUUUGAAAAAAUUAGAGUGUUUAAAGCAGGCUCACGCUUGAAUACAUUAGCAUGGAAUAAUGAAAUAGGACGUUUGAUUCUAUUUUGUUGGUUUCUAGGAUCGACGUAAUGAUUAAUAGGGAUAGUUGGGGGCAUUAGUAUUCAAUUGUCAGAGGUGAAAUUCUUGGAUUUAUUGAAGACUAACUACUGCGAAAGCAUUUGCCAAGGAUGUUUUCAUUAAUCAAGAACGAAAGUUAGGGGAUCGAAGACGAUCAGAUACCGUCGUAGUCUUAACCAUAAACUAUGCCGACUAGGGAUCGGAUGAUGUUAAUUUUUAAUGACUCAUUCGGCGCCUUACGGGAAACCAAAGUGUUUGGGUU
Molecule: ribosomal RNA, 796 nt
Filed under: uncultured Glomeromycotina
Lineage: Eukaryota; Fungi; Glomeromycota
Description: SSU rRNA
Rfam family: Eukaryotic small subunit ribosomal RNA
Source: RNAcentral